UGCGUAGGCGGUUUAUUAAGUCAGAUGUGAAAGCCCCGGGCUUAACCUGGGAACUGCAUUUGAUACUGGUAGACUAGAGUAUGGUAGAGGGGGGUAGAAUUCCUAGUGUAGCGGUGAAAUGCGUAGAUAUUAGGAGGAAUACCAGUGGCGAAGGCGGCCCCUGGACCAAUACUGACGCUGAGGUACGAAAGCGUGGGUAGCGAACA
Molecule: ribosomal RNA, 206 nt
Filed under: uncultured bacterium
Lineage: Bacteria
Description: partial 16S ribosomal RNA
Rfam family: Bacterial small subunit ribosomal RNA
Source: RNAcentral